Molecule: ribosomal RNA, 292 nt
Filed under: uncultured Alphaproteobacteria bacterium
Lineage: Bacteria; Pseudomonadati; Pseudomonadota; Alphaproteobacteria
Description: partial 16S ribosomal RNA
Rfam family: Bacterial small subunit ribosomal RNA
Source: RNAcentral
GCUGGCGGCAUUUCUAACACAUGCAAGUCGAACGCACCGCAAGGUGAGUGGCGCACGGGUGAGUAACGUGUGCCAACCUGCCCCGGAGUGUGGGAUAACCCGGCGAAAGCCGGGCUAAUACCGCAUACGGCCUAUGGGCGAAAGAUUUAUCGCUCUGGGAGGGGCCCGCGUCGGAUUAGCUAGUUGGUGAGGUAACGGCUCACCAAGGCGAUGAUCCGUAGCUGGUCUGAGAGGAUGAUCAGCCACACUGGGACUGAGACACGGCCCAGACUCCUACGGGAGGCAGCAGUGG